UCCAAUAGGAGCGGCGUGCAUAGUGACGUGAUGGCAGCGACGUGAGAGCGACGAUCCCGGAGAAGCAGAGACGUCCGGAGUGUCGGGGACACCACAGGGAAGUGGCGACAGCAACGGAGGGUGACAUCCAGGGCAGCGGUGACGGUCCGGAGCGGCGGGGACAGGCUGCUCUGUAUCCCCCGCCUUUCUUCUGCGGUCUGAUAGAACAGGAGUGAGCACGGAUGAGUGCUAGUCCCACCCUCACUGGACUUUGAUCCCAGCCUGUGCUUCAGCUUGGACAAAGAUGAUGCUGCAGCCAGAUAGGAUUGUGUUCUGGAUGGGAAAAUGUGAGGCUCCUGUAGACUGAUUCAACAACAUUAAAGGCAUAUUGUACACUAAGAAAGUAUGGAAAAUGCACAUUUCAACCAAUGACCGUACCGAUAUCUACAGUAGCAGGAAUGUUUUGCACUCCUCACCCACUGUAUACAUACAUAAUUGGUAUAGUCUCUGUCUCUCUUUUAUGCCAUGCUUUGCCAAUCUUCUUCCUUCCACAAGGUGAAUCAACCAGGUUUCAUGCUGUGUAUCUGUAGUAAAAGAUUCCAGACAAAGUAAUGAAAGGAUAUCAGAACAGCAGUGAGGUGGUUAAACUAGUAAUCUGCAGUAGAUAUAUACCUGUAUGUGGUGCAGUAGAUAUAUACCUGUAUGUGGU
Molecule: long non-coding RNA, 688 nt
Organism: Hyla sarda
Lineage: Eukaryota; Metazoa; Chordata; Amphibia; Anura; Hylidae
Exons: 3
Source: RefSeq, a predicted model, not a curated record